UACAGAGGUCUCAAGCGUUGUUCGGAUUCAUUGGGCGUAAAGGGUGCGUAGGCGGUGGGGCAAGUCAGGUGUGAAAUCCCGGAGCUCAACUCCGGAACUGCACUUGAUACUGCUUUACUAGAGUACUGGAGAGGAGACUGGAAUUUACGGUGUAGCAGUGAAAUGCGUAGAUAUCGUAAGGAAGACCAGUGGCGAAGGCGAGUCUCUGGACAGUUACUGACACUGAGGCACGAAGGCCAGGGGAGCAAACGGG
RNAcentral lists this ribosomal RNA (253 nucleotides) under uncultured bacterium. RNAcentral describes it as "partial 16S ribosomal RNA". It matches the Rfam family "Bacterial small subunit ribosomal RNA", at positions 524 to 776 of the family's 1533-position model. The record is from RNAcentral.